Molecule: transfer RNA, 73 nt
Filed under: Thermoflexales bacterium
Lineage: Bacteria; Bacillati; Chloroflexota; Thermoflexia; Thermoflexales
Description: tRNA-Glu
Rfam family: tRNA
About the family: Transfer RNA (tRNA) molecules are approximately 80 nucleotides in length. Their secondary structure includes four short double-helical elements and three loops (D, anti-codon, and T loops).
Source: RNAcentral
GCUCCCAUCGUCCAGGGGACCAAGACACAGCCCUCUCAAGGCUGAGACGCGGGUUCGAAUCCCGCUGGGAGCA